Molecule: ribosomal RNA, 819 nt
Filed under: Triticum aestivum (bread wheat)
Lineage: Eukaryota; Viridiplantae; Streptophyta; Magnoliopsida; Poales; Poaceae
Description: partial small subunit ribosomal RNA
Source: RNAcentral
AUGCCUAUGAACUACUCACUUGCUGUUGAACCAUUUGAUGUUUGGGGUUUUGAUUACAUGGGACCUUUUUGUUCCUCUAAUGGGCAUACACAUAUUUUGGUUGUUGUUUAUUAUGUUACUAAAUGGGUAGAAGCUAUUCCAACUAGUAGUGCUAAUCACAACACCUCUAUUAAAAUGCUUAAGGAAGUUAUUUUCCCAAGGUUUGGAGUCCCUAGAUAUUUAAGGACUGAUGGUGGUUCACACUUUAUUCAUGGUGCUUUUCGUAAAAUGCUUGCCAAGUAUGAUGUUAACCAUAGAAUUGCAUCACCUUAUCAUCCUCAGUCUAGUGGUCAAGUUGAACUUAGCAAUAGAGAAAUAAAAUUAAUUUUGCAAAAGACUGUUAAUAGGUCUGGGAAGAAUUGGUCUAAGAAAUUAGAUGAUGCACUUUGGGCUUAUAGAACAACAUAUAAAAAUCCUAUGGGUAUGUCUCCUUAUAAAAUGGUCUAUGGAAAGGCUUGUCAUUUGCCUCUUGAAAUAGAACAUAAAUCAUUUUGGGUAGUCAAAGAACUCAACUAUGAUUUCAAACUUGCUGGUGAAAAGAGGUUAUUUGAUAUUAGCUCAUUAGAUGAGUGGAGGACCCAAGCUUAUGAAAAUGCAAAAUUAUUCAAAGAGAAAGUUAAAAUAUGGCAUGACAAAAGAAUCGAAAAGCGUGAAUUUAAAGUUGGAGAAUAUGUUCUUUUGUACAACUCUCGUUUUAGAUUUUUUGCAGGAAAACUCCUCUCAAAAGGGGAAGGCCCAUAUGUUAUCGAGAGUUUUAUCAGUCUGGAGCCAUCAAAAUAA